RNAcentral lists this ribosomal RNA (719 nucleotides) under Salmonella enterica subsp. enterica serovar Newport. RNAcentral describes it as "partial 23S ribosomal RNA". It matches the Rfam family "Bacterial large subunit ribosomal RNA", at positions 104 to 864 of the family's 2925-position model. The record is from RNAcentral. Lineage: Bacteria; Pseudomonadati; Pseudomonadota; Gammaproteobacteria; Enterobacterales; Enterobacteriaceae.
CCGGCGAUUUCCGAAUGGGGAAACCCAGUGUGAUUCGUCACACUAUCAUUAACUGAAUCCAUAGGUUAAUGAGGCGAACCGGGGGAACUGAAACAUCUAAGUACCCCGAGGAAAAGAAAUCAACCGAGAUUCCCCCAGUAGCGGCGAGCGAACGGGGAGGAGCCCAGAGCCUGAAUCAGCAUGUGUGUUAGUGGAAGCGUCUGGAAAGGCGCGCGAUACAGGGUGACAGCCCCGUACACAAAAGCGCAUGUGCUGUGAGCUCGAUGAGUAGGGCGGGACACGUGGUAUCCUGUCUGAAUAUGGGGGGACCAUCCUCCAAGGCUAAAUACUCCUGACUGACCGAUAGUGAACCAGUACCGUGAGGGAAAGGCGAAAAGAACCCCGGCGAGGGGAGUGAAAAAGAACCUGAAACCGUGUACGUACAAGCAGUGGGAGCACAGGUUUACCUGUGUGACUGCGUACCUUUUGUAUAAUGGGUCAGCGACUUAUAUUCUGUAGCAAGGUUAACCGAAUAGGGGAGCCGGAGGGAAACCGAGUCUUAAUUGGGCGUUAAGUUGCAGGGUAUAGACCCGAAACCCGGUGAUCUAGCCAUGGGCAGGUUGAAGGUUGGGUAACACUAACUGGAGGACCGAACCGACUAAUGUUGAAAAAUUAGCGGAUGACCUGUGGCUGGGGGUGAAAGGCCAAUCAAACCGGGAGAUAGCUGGUUCUCCCCGAAA